GAUGAACGCUGGCGGCGUGCCUAAUACAUGCAAGUCGAGCGAACAGACGAGGAGCUUUCUCCUCUGACGUUAGCGGCGGACGGGUGAGUAACACGUGGAUAACCUACCUAUAAGACUGGGAUAACUUCGGGAAACCGGAGCUACUACCGGAAAAUAUAUCGACCCUCUUGGUUCAUUAGUUAAAUACGCUUUUGCUUUCAUUAAUAGCUGAAUCCGCGCCCCAUUAGCUAGUUGUUAAGGUAACGGCUUACCAAGGCAACGACGCGUAGCCGACCUGAGAGGGUGAUCGGCCACACUGGAACUGAGACACGGUCCAGACUCCUACGGGAGGCAGCAGUAGGGAAUCUUCCGCAAUGGGCGAAAGCCUGACGGAGCAACGCCGCGUGAGUGAUGAAGGUCUUCGGAUCGUAAAGCUCUGUUAGUAGGGAAGAACAAAUGUGUAAGUAACUAUGCACGUCUUGACGGUACCUAAUGAGAAAGCUACGGCUAACUACGUG
Molecule: ribosomal RNA, 497 nt
Filed under: uncultured bacterium
Lineage: Bacteria
Description: partial 16S ribosomal RNA
Rfam family: Bacterial small subunit ribosomal RNA
Source: RNAcentral